RNAcentral lists this unclassified non-coding RNA (352 nucleotides) under soil metagenome. RNAcentral describes it as "partial contains 5.8S ribosomal RNA, internal transcribed spacer 2, and large subunit ribosomal RNA". The stretch from base 1 to 120 matches the Rfam family "5.8S ribosomal RNA", at positions 35 to 154 of the family's 154-position model. The record is from RNAcentral.
GAUGAAGAACGUAGCGAAAUGCGAUAAGUAAUGUGAAUUGCAGAAUUCAGUGAAUCAUCGAAUCUUUGAACGCACAUUGCGCCCGCCAGUAUUCUGGCGGGCAUGCCUGUUCGAGCGUCAUUACAACCCUCAGGCCCCCGGGCCUGGCGUUGGGGAUCGGCGGAGCCCCCCGUGGGCACGCGCCGUCCCCCAAAUGCAGUGGCGGUCCCGCCGCAGCUUCCAUCGCGUAGUAGCUAACACCUCGCGACUGGAGAGCGGCGCGGCCACGCCGUAAAACACCCAACUCUUCUGAAGUUGACCUCGAAUCAGGUAGGAAUACCCGCUGAACUUAAGCAUAUCAAUAAGCGGAGGA